RNAcentral lists this ribosomal RNA (720 nucleotides) under Omophoita octoguttata. RNAcentral's name for it is "SSU rRNA". It matches the Rfam family "Eukaryotic small subunit ribosomal RNA", at positions 32 to 731 of the family's 1831-position model. Lineage: Eukaryota; Metazoa; Arthropoda; Insecta; Coleoptera; Chrysomelidae. The record is from RNAcentral.
UUGUCUCAAAGAUUAAGCCAUGCAUGUCUCAGUACAAGCCAAAUUAAGGUGAAACCGCGAAAGGCUCAUUAAAUCAGUUAUGGUUCCUUAGAUCGUACCCAUAAUUACUUGGAUAACUGUGGUAAUUCUAGAGCUAAUACAUGCAAACAGAGCUCCGACCGGAAACGAAAGGAGCGCUUUUAUUAGAUCAAAACCAAUCGGCGGCGGGCUCGUCUCGUCAUCGUAAUAUUUGGUGACUCUGAAUAACUUUACGCUGAUCGCACGGUCUCGCACCGGCGACGCAUCUUUCAAAUGUCUGCCUUAUCAACUGUCGAUGGUAGGUUCUGUGCCUACCAUGGUUGUAACGGGUAACGGGGAAUCAGGGUUCGAUUCCGGAGAGGGAGCCUGAGAAACCGCUUCCACAUCCAAGGAGGCAGCAGGCGCGCAAAUUACCCACUCCCGGCACGGGGAGGUAGUGACGAAAAAUAACGAUACGGGACUCAUCCGAGGCCCCGUAAUCGGAAUGAGUACACUCUAAACCCUUUAACGAGGAUCAAUUGGAGGGCAAGUCUGGUGCCAGCAGCCGCGGUAAUUCCAGCUCCAAUAGCGUAUAUUAAAGUUGUUGCGGUUAAAAAGCUCGUAGUCGAAUCUGUGUCCCGCGCCGCUGGUUCAUCGUACGCGGUGUUAACUGGCGUGCCGCGGGACGUCCUGCCGGUGGGCUUAGCUCGCAAGGGCGGCCCA